GUCGAGCGGGCGUAGCAAUACGUCAGCGGCAGACGGGUGAGUAACGCGUGGGAACAUACCUUUUGGUUCGGAACAACACAGGGAAACUUGUGCUAAUACCGGAUAAGCCCUUACGGGGAAAGAUUUAUCGCCGAAAGAUUGGCCCGCGUCUGAUUAGCUAGUUGGUGAGGUAACGGCUCACCAAGGCGACGAUCAGUAGCUGGUCUGAGAGGAUGAUCAGCCACAUUGGGACUGAGACACGGCCCAAACUCCUACGGGAGGCAGCAGUGGGGAAUAUUGGACAAUGGGCGCAAGCCUGAUCCAGCCAUGCCGCGUGAGUGAUGAAGGCCCUAGGGUUGUAAAGCUCUUUUGUGCGGGAAGAUAAUGACGGUACCGCAAGAAUAAGCCCCGGCUAACUUCGUGCCAGCAGCCGCGGUAAUACGAAGGGGGCUAGCGUUGCUCGGAAUCACUGGGCGUAAAGGGUGCGUAGGCGGGUCUUUAAGUCAGGGGUGAAAUCCUGGAGCUCAACUCCAGAACUGCCUUUGAUACUGAGGAUCUUGAGUUCGGGAGAGGUGAGUGGAACUGCGAGUGUAGAGGUGA
RNAcentral lists this ribosomal RNA (579 nucleotides) under uncultured bacterium. RNAcentral's name for it is "bacterial SSU rRNA". It matches the Rfam family "Bacterial small subunit ribosomal RNA", at positions 61 to 684 of the family's 1533-position model. The record is from RNAcentral.